Non-coding RNA from Triticum aestivum (bread wheat), 124 nucleotides. The record is from Rfam. NCBI's taxonomy places the organism in Eukaryota, Viridiplantae, Streptophyta, Magnoliopsida, Poales, Poaceae.
GUACUACUCCUUCCGUUCCGAAUUACUUGUCUUGGAUUUGUCUAGAUACGGAUGUAUCUAAGUCUAGAUACAUCCGUAUCUAGACAAAUCCAAGACAAGUAAUUCGGAACGGAGGGAGUACUUA